Molecule: ribosomal RNA, 424 nt
Filed under: uncultured bacterium
Lineage: Bacteria
Description: partial 16S ribosomal RNA
Rfam family: Bacterial small subunit ribosomal RNA
Source: RNAcentral
AAUAUUGGACAAUGGGGGGAACCCUGAUCCAGCCAUGCCGCGUGUGUGAAGAAGGUCUUCGGAUUGUAAAGCACUUUACGUUGGGAGGAAGGGCUUUAGGCUAAUACCCUGAAGUUUUGACGUUACCAACAGAAUAAGCACCGGCUAACUCUGUGCCAGCAGCCGCGGUAAUACAGAGGGUGCAGUCGUUAAUCGGAAUUACUGUGCGUAAAGCGCGCGUAGGUGGUUCAGUAAGAUAGAAGUGAAAUCCCCGGGCUUAACCUGGGAACUGCUUUCAUAACUGCUGAGCUAGAGUACGGUAGAGGGUAGUGGAAUUUCCUGUGUAGCGGUGAAAUGCGUAGAUAUAGGAAGGAACACCAGUGGCGAAGGCGACUACCUGGACUGAUACUGACACUGAGGUGCGAAAGCGUGGGGAGCAAACAGG